CGAUGUCCAACACACCGUCGUACAUCGUGUUCCACAGGGUGGGGCCUAGGAUAGACCCCUGUGGAACCCCUGCCGUGACGGACCGCACUACCGGGCCAUCGGAGGUUUCAUAAACCAGCUUCCGGUCCUGGAAGUAGUUAUGUAUGAUGCGUUGGAGGCCGGCAGGAACACCUUUCGCCUGCAGCGCAGUGGCGAUGGCCUGCCAGCUGGCCGUGUUGAACGCGUUCCUGAAGUCUAGUGCAGCUACUAGCAGGGACCGUUUGUCGCGUCGGUUCGUGCGACCGAACGACAUCGCACGCUGGCCGGCCUCAAAAACGCCGGGAUAACUGGCUUGUGGCCUCCAAGCGUUCAUAGCGACGUGGCUUUUUGAUCCUUCGAUGUCGGCUCUUCCUAUCAUAGUCAAGCAAAAUUCACCAAGUGUUGGAUUGUUCAACCUUUCAAGGGAAGGUGAGCUGGGUUUAGACCGUCGUGAGACAGGUUAGUUUUACCCUACUGAUGUGUGCUUAUAGUCGCUAUCUUAACGGAAUUCCUGUGCAGUACGAGAGGAACUAUAGGUACGGAUCACUGGCUCAAUAUUAGGUACAUAAUGAGAAAUAUUGCUGGUACACAUGUAUAUUGUUUAAUAAUAAAAGUAUAAAAUAUGCCUCUCCCCAUAAUCCAACUUUGUGUUUUGUGUUUCGAAUCAGGAAGAUAAAUAAUAAGAAAUUAUAUGUUUUUUGAGAGACUUGGAAUGAUUUUUAUAGUCAAUGUCAUAAUAUAUUUACAUUAUUAAAAUACGAUAUUUGUGUAGUUCUUUAAAAAAACGAAAACUAACUAACAACUUUAAUUCACGCGUUUUAACAAACUUUGCUUAACACUAAAAUGCUC
Molecule: non-coding RNA, 867 nt
Filed under: Anopheles gambiae (African malaria mosquito)
Lineage: Eukaryota; Metazoa; Arthropoda; Insecta; Diptera; Culicidae
Description: Eukaryotic large subunit ribosomal RNA
Rfam family: Eukaryotic large subunit ribosomal RNA
Source: Rfam by way of RNAcentral